GUACAGAUAUAGUGUCAUGGAGCAUCAACGUGGAUACUGUUUUGAGUUGGCGUGUCAUUUGAAAUUUUUUAUUUGAAUUUGGCGGGUUGGCAUGCCAUUAUUUAUAAUCUUAAGUGGACUUGAGAACAGUGAUAAAGAAAUUGGCAUCCCACUCAACUGAUUGCAGGAUUCUGGAGUAGUAGUCAAGGUAUGGUUGUCUUAAGUUAUAGAUUUGAAGAAUAAACAUUAUCUUUUCAAUUGCAUAUAAUGUUGCCGUCUGUACAAGUGGCUAUGAAAUGCAUAAAGAGGGUUGCGUCUCAACUUGAUGCAUUGGAUGGACCGAUAAAGAACCAAACAGAGUUUUUUCUGCUUCAAGGUGCUGAUCGAUAUGGUGCAGAAUGGAAAGGGGGGCUAGAACUUUCAACUUGACACUUAUAAUUGAGAAACAUAGGCUGAUCGAUAUUAUGAACUAUAUCUGAGUCAAUGUGAAUGCCCUCUUGGUUGAGGAAUUAAGUGUUCCCGAGCAUCUUCGCUUCAAAAAACUGGUUGAUGGAACGUUGAUUACUGUUAGAGAAGACCUUGGAAAACACACCAAGAAAUGGUGCAGGCUAGGUUGCGUUGUUUGUGACAAAAACGAUUAGUGCCACCAGUAUUGAUGCUACUAGACUUCAUGCGCCAUACGGGUACUUGAAUGUUUGGAGAAAUAUAUAACUGAACAUGCUACUGGUGAUGCAGGUACACAUUCGGUUAUCUCCAAAGAAAACAACUUUGUACAAGCAAAGGAGCUGAGUUCAUAUUAUUACUCUUCGAUACCUGUGAUCCUUCUGUGAAAACAAUACUUGAGUCAAGGGGUACUGCUAUCACUGUUGCAGCAAUUGGCAUGUGAUAUUGGGAAUGAUACAUCUAAGAAACUUGGUUGGAUGAUGGAUCUGGUGGUGGUGAUUAAACCAACUGAUGGGAUCAUCACAAUGUAUAUAAGGCCGAUAUUUGAACAAGUGUACUCGAUCAGAUGAUUGUUCCCACAACUUUAGUUGCUGAGCUUUCCAGUAUUCGUGUGGUCACGAAACUCAUAAACUCGACGUUAAGGAGCAUGUAAGUAAUUUAGAGAUUAUUAGAAUUUUUGUAAUCAGAAUUGGACAUUUUGGUUUCACUUAGUAUUUUUUUUUU
This 1146-nucleotide long non-coding RNA is filed under the name Helianthus annuus (common sunflower). The record is from RNAcentral. Lineage: Eukaryota; Viridiplantae; Streptophyta; Magnoliopsida; Asterales; Asteraceae.